Molecule: ribosomal RNA, 253 nt
Filed under: uncultured bacterium
Lineage: Bacteria
Description: partial 16S ribosomal RNA
Rfam family: Bacterial small subunit ribosomal RNA
Source: RNAcentral
UACGAAGGGGGCUAGCGUUGUUCGGAAUUACUGGGCGUAAAGCGCACGCAGGCGGGUCGAUUAGGCAGAAGUGAAAGCCCCGGGCUCAACCUGGGAACUGCUUUUGAUACUGUCGAGCUUGAAUCACGGAGAGGGUAGUGGAAUUCCGAGUGUAGAGGUGAAAUUCGUAGAUAUUCGGAAGAACACCAGUGGCGAAGGCGACUACCUGGCCGUCGAUUGACGCUCAUGUGCGAAAGCGUGGGGAGCAAACAGG